Molecule: ribosomal RNA, 89 nt
Filed under: Candidatus Methanophagales archaeon
Lineage: Archaea; Methanobacteriati; Methanobacteriota; Methanomicrobia; Candidatus Methanophagales
Source: RNAcentral
CUCAUUCCGAACCCAGAAGAUAAGCCCGUCAGCGUUCUUUGCUGUACUGCGUUGCGCGAGCACUCGGGAACCAAAGAUCGCUGCUAUGC